CCUACGGGUGGCAGCAGUGAGGAAUAUUGGUCAAUGGGCUUACGCCUGAACCAGCCAAGUCGCGUGAGGGAAGACUGCCCUAUGGGUUGUAAACCUCUUUUGUCAGGGAGCAACGCCGGCUACGUGUAGCCGGACUUAGAUUACCUGUAGAAAAAGCAUCGGCUAACUCCGUGCCAGCAGCCGCGGUAAUACGGAGGAUGCGAGCGUUAUCCGGAUUUAUUGGGUUUAAAGGGUGCGUAGGCGGAAUGCCAAGUCAGCGGUAAAGUCGCGGGGCUAAACCUCGCUCCGCAGUUGAUACUGGCGUUAUUGAGUGGGCGAGAAGUAGGCGGAAUGCGUGGUGUAGCGGUGAAAUGCAUAGAUAUCACGCAGAACUCCGAUUGCGAAGGCAGCAUACCGGCGCCCAACUGACGCUGAAGCACGAAAGCGUGGGUAUCGAACAGGAUUAGAUACCCCUGUAGUC
Molecule: ribosomal RNA, 460 nt
Filed under: uncultured bacterium
Lineage: Bacteria
Description: partial 16S ribosomal RNA
Rfam family: Bacterial small subunit ribosomal RNA
Source: RNAcentral